Molecule: ribosomal RNA, 506 nt
Filed under: uncultured bacterium
Lineage: Bacteria
Description: partial 16S ribosomal RNA
Rfam family: Bacterial small subunit ribosomal RNA
Source: RNAcentral
GAUGAACGCUAGCGAUAGGCUUAACACAUGCAAGUCGAGGGGCAGCAUGGUCUUAGCUUGCUGAGACUGAUGGCGACCGGCGCACGGGUGCGUAGCGCGUAUGCAACUUGCCUCACAGAGGGGGAUAACCCGUCGAAAGACGGACUAAUACCGCGUACACUUGGAGGGAGGCAUCUCCCAUCAAGGAAAAGAAAUUCGCUGUGAGAUAGGCAUGCGUCCCAUUAGCUAGUUGGUGAGGUAACGGCUCACCAAGGAAACGAUGGGUAGGGGAACUGAGAGGUUGAACCCCCACACUGGUACUGAGACACGGACCAGACUCCUACGGGAGGCAGCAGUGAGGAAUAUUGGUCAAUGGGCGAGAGCCUGAACCAGCCAAGUCGCGUGAAGGAUGACUGUCUUAUGGAUUGUAAACUUCUUUUGUAGGGGAAUAAAGAACGGUACGUGUACCGUAGUGAAUGUACCCUACGAAUAAGCAUCGGCUAACUCCGUGCCAGCCGCCGCUGUAA